This 630-nucleotide long non-coding RNA is filed under the name Monodelphis domestica (gray short-tailed opossum). Its description in RNAcentral is "lncRNA (ENSMODG00000050286.1)". Lineage: Eukaryota; Metazoa; Chordata; Mammalia; Didelphimorphia; Didelphidae. The record is from RNAcentral.
CUCAGUCUUGAGAAGCCUAGGAGAGAGGGCUGGUCAAGACUUUCUCCUUUUCCUCUCCUGGUGAUAGGACAUCUUUCCCCCUACCAAUUCCCAAAUGAAGAGACAGCUGAAGAAGACAUUGAGCCUCUGUCAAACUUAUCUCACAGCUCCUGGUGCCUGGGUCUGAACUGUGCCAGUUGGGCCAAGACCAGGCUAAUCAAAUCAAGAACUUAAAGUACCUCUACUUGGCACUAAGUAAGAGAGUUUGAAGCCACUUGCCUUCCUUUCCUGGCUUCUGGAGAGAUUGGUUCCAGAGAGACCUUCCUUUCCCAGAGGAGGCUGUGUUGGUGGAACCCUGGCUGAAGACAGCAAGACCAUUGGGACUCCUGGUUUAAGAGACUACCAUGACUCCACAUGGAGACCGAGACUUCAGAGCCCUUCCCAGAGAAAAUUUUCAGCUCUCCAAUAUCCUUACUGGAACAUAGUGACUUGAACUAAACAGUACUCCAGAUGUGAUUCCACCAGGACAGAGAAAGGCAGGACUAUCAUCUCCUAAGGAGUAGCCACUGUGCUUCUUUUAAAGUAACCUAAGAUCACAUUAUCUUUGUGAAAUUCAGCACUGUCAACUGCCAUUAAACUUGUAGUCCACUA